This 53-nucleotide transfer RNA is filed under the name Aporrectodea tuberculata. Its description in RNAcentral is "partial tRNA-Asp". Lineage: Eukaryota; Metazoa; Annelida; Clitellata; Crassiclitellata; Lumbricidae. The record is from RNAcentral.
GAAAUACUAGUUAAAUAAUAAUAAUAGUGUCUUGUCAAGACAUAGUUACCAAA